Molecule: transfer RNA, 72 nt
Filed under: Camelus bactrianus (Bactrian camel)
Lineage: Eukaryota; Metazoa; Chordata; Mammalia; Artiodactyla; Camelidae
Also listed under: 2 other names
Rfam family: tRNA
About the family: Transfer RNA (tRNA) molecules are approximately 80 nucleotides in length.
Source: Rfam by way of RNAcentral
GUCAGAAUAGCUCAGUGGUAGAGCAUAUGCUUCGUGUGCAUGAGGUCCUGGGUUUAAUCCCCAGUUUCUCCA